RNAcentral lists this transfer RNA (68 nucleotides) under Marmota monax (woodchuck). RNAcentral's name for it is "tRNA.Ala". The record is from RNAcentral. Lineage: Eukaryota; Metazoa; Chordata; Mammalia; Rodentia; Sciuridae.
GGAUAUAGCUCAGUUGGCAAAGUGCUUGUCUUGCAAGCACAAGGCCCUGGGUUCAAUCCCCAGCACCA